This 148-nucleotide non-coding RNA is filed under the name Nomascus leucogenys (northern white-cheeked gibbon). The record is from Rfam by way of RNAcentral. Lineage: Eukaryota; Metazoa; Chordata; Mammalia; Primates; Hylobatidae.
GCUGGGUGUGGUGACGCACCCCUGUAAUCCCAGCUACUCGGGAGGCUGAGACAGGAGAAUCACUUGAACCCAGGAGGCAGAGGUUGCAGUGAGCCAAGAUCACACCAUUGCAUUCCAGCCUGGGUAACAAAGUGAAACUCUGUCUCAA